Long non-coding RNA from Telopea speciosissima, 95 nucleotides. RefSeq lists it as uncharacterized. The record is from RefSeq and is a predicted model, not a curated record. The transcript is spliced from 3 exons. Lineage: Eukaryota; Viridiplantae; Streptophyta; Magnoliopsida; Proteales; Proteaceae.
GGAGGUUUCUAAUUGGGGCAAGGGAGGAUGGAACCCCACUUCGACUCACCAAAGAGAAGGUAAGUACUGUUACAUCGUUUCUUCUGAAGUUUUAA